CAGCCUCCCGAGUAGCUGGGACUACAGGUGUCAAGGCAAAGACAAAGUCCCUAGAGGCACGGCCCAUGGAAUCUAAUAGCAGAAAGGAAGAGGGUGUUUAGGGAUGAGGGAAGGGCCAAAGGAAGUGGCCCUUCUAAGAGUGCGUCUAGGAGACUCGGGGCUUAGGUGCCUCAUGGAUCCUGUGAGACACAAGAGCUUGUUCUGAUGAAGCAGGCUGCCACGUUGUGAGCUGCGUAUGGAAAGGCCCAUGCUGCAUGGCACUGAGGAAUCUCCAGGCAGCAGCCAGUGAGGAGCUGGAUCCUGCCAGCCACCAUGUGAGUGAGCUGGGAAGUGGAUCCAACCCCAUGUCAGCCUUGAGAUGGCCACAGCCCCACGGACAUCCCACCUGCAGCCUUGGGAGGGGCCUUGAGCCCAAGACCCAGCUAAGCCACACCUAGAUUCUCAACCCGGAGAAACAGUGACAUAAUAAACCG
Molecule: long non-coding RNA, 473 nt
Organism: Cebus imitator (Panamanian white-faced capuchin)
Lineage: Eukaryota; Metazoa; Chordata; Mammalia; Primates; Cebidae
Exons: 3
Source: RefSeq, a predicted model, not a curated record